GGGGCCGAUUAGGAUUCGACGCCGGUAACAAAACUCUAGGGGCAUGCCGAGCUGGUAGCAGACCUCGUAAAUUAGCUGCUGCAAACUAUUAGUUGCCAACGACGACAACUACGGGGCGGCCCUCGCGGCCUAACCCUUCUGGCGGCUUCGGCUGCCAGCAGUCAUAAGGGGAUGCCUGUAAACCCGAAAUGACUGUCAGAUAGAACAGGAUCGCCGCCAAGUUCGCUGUAGACGUAACGGCUAAAACUUAUACAGCUCGCUCUGAGCACCCUGCCAGUCGGGCCGCAAAGAGCUAACUCAGUAGACUUGGCUAAGCAUGUAGUCCCGAAAGCGGAGAGCUGGCGGACGGGGGUUCAAAUCCCCCCGGCUCCACCA
Molecule: non-coding RNA, 375 nt
Rfam family: transfer-messenger RNA
About the family: Bacterial tmRNA, also known as 10Sa RNA or SsrA, is named for its dual tRNA and mRNA-like properties. Its role is to liberate the mRNA from a stalled ribosome. To accomplish this part of the tmRNA is used as a reading frame that ends in a translation stop signal.
Source: Rfam